This 500-nucleotide ribosomal RNA is filed under the name uncultured Phormidium sp. Its description in RNAcentral is "bacterial SSU rRNA". It matches the Rfam family "Bacterial small subunit ribosomal RNA", at positions 290 to 804 of the family's 1533-position model. The record is from RNAcentral. Lineage: Bacteria; Bacillati; Cyanobacteriota; Cyanophyceae; Oscillatoriales; Oscillatoriaceae.
UUUUGAGGGGAUGACCCAGUCCCCCCUGGGGACUGAGACACGGCCCCAGNUCCUNCNGGAGGCAGCAGNGGGGAAUCUUCCGCAAUGGGCGAAAGCCUGACGGAGCAAUACCGCGUGAGGGACGAAGGUCUGUGGAUUGUAAACCUCCUUUGUUGGGGAAGAUAAUGACGGUACCCAACGAAUAAGCAUCGGCUAACUCCGUGCCAGCAGCCGCGGUAAGACGGAGGAUGCAAGCGUUAUCCGGAAUUAUUGGGCGUAAAGCGUACGUAGGCUGUUUCAUAAGUCUGUUGUCAAAGCCCGAUGCUCAACCUUGGAUCGGCAAUGGAAACUGACUCACUAGAGUACGGUAGGGGUAGAGGGAAUUUCCAGUGUAGCGGUGAAAUGCGUAGAGAUUGGAAAGAACACCAGUGGCGAAGGCGCUCUACUGGACCGUAACUGACACUCAGGGACGAAAGCUAGGGUAGCGAAAGGGAUUAGAUACCCCUGUAGUCCUAGCCGUU